Vicia faba (fava bean) is the source of this 243-nucleotide non-coding RNA. NCBI's taxonomy places the organism in Eukaryota, Viridiplantae, Streptophyta, Magnoliopsida, Fabales, Fabaceae. The record is from the annotation of a GenBank genome assembly.
AUGAGUCUGCUUUUUUUCUUCUGGCUCCUUCUAGUGUUGAUUCUUUUCUUCUUCAAAAAUUCUAUUUCUGUUGAAGGCUAUGCAAAAUCUCAAAACUUUAGAACUGAUUCUAACUCAAAGUUAAGUGCUGUUCAAGGUAAAACAACUUCAACAAAGAAUUCAGGUGUACAAGGAAGUGAAGACGUUCUUGCUGAUGAGAAGAGGAAAAUCUACACUGGUCCUAAUCCUUUACAUAACAGAUAA